AAGCCAACAAAGGUGACUCCACUGCCCCUCAGGAAGCUAACACUGUGAGAAGGAUAUGCCGCCCAGGGCACAUCCCUAAGGCGCUGUCUGUGGACUGGGCCAGAGCUACUUCCGGACCAGCAUCCAGGUCCACUUCACGACCAGGUGGUGUUGAGACUCUCAUCUGGACCUUGAUUCAGACAGCAGAUCUGGCCAGCAAGCCCCAGGGGUCCUCUUGCUUCUGUCUCCUCGGCGCUGGGAUUACAGAGCUUGCCUUUGUCGAGAAAACUCAGAACAAAAGAUGGAGGAAAUGGCAAAAUCAGAAUGGUCAGGCUGCCUGAGAAGUUUGCUAACACAGUCCAGUCCCUCAAGACCCAAGUCUUCUUAGGAGUUGGGUUCCCAGAACUGAUUUGAGCUUAGCACCCCUCAUACCACAGCAGAUUGCCGCUUGUUUCCAUCUGGAAGAUUCUAUGAGGCAGACUGCCACUGUGUGUGUCCACUGCAGAAGUUACUGCUGCCACCAGCAGGACAUCAACAAACAAAACUAGGCUCUUGGCCACCGUGACACAUUUGAGGUGUGCGGUAUUUGGGAGACCUGAGUAUUCUACAUGUGGCUGAUGGAGCAGCACCAAGACAGA
RNAcentral lists this long non-coding RNA (617 nucleotides) under Cricetulus griseus (Chinese hamster). Its description in RNAcentral is "lncRNA (ENSCGRG00015030472.1)". The record is from RNAcentral. Lineage: Eukaryota; Metazoa; Chordata; Mammalia; Rodentia; Cricetidae.